RNAcentral lists this transfer RNA (63 nucleotides) under Alcedoecus sp. RNAcentral's name for it is "tRNA-Ile". The record is from RNAcentral. Lineage: Eukaryota; Metazoa; Arthropoda; Insecta; Psocodea; Philopteridae.
AUUGAAGUGCCUGACAUAAAGGGACAUCUUGAUGUGAUGUGUAAUGGAGUAAUCCCUUCAAUU